CAUCUGAAUUCAAAUUAAUUGGUUUCUAACAAAAAGCUUGACUAGAAGAAUUCCAAUACUUAUGUUCAAACUAAAAUACGAGCUGCAUUGCUGUAAUGCAAACAGAAAAUAGACACAGCCAAUUUUCAAUCCAAAACUUCUAAUAGUUCCCGUGAAGCAGGCUUGAAACUAUUUAUUGAUGUGUAACAUAAUUAUCAUUGGAAAUGCGUAAAUAGCAUAAAAAAUGUAGUUAAGCUCAAUUCAUUCUUGGUCAACAAACAUCACCUGUGCAAUUAAAUAUCCACCAAAUAAACUUGACUGAAGUUUCAAAUGUUGAGUGAACCAA
RNAcentral lists this unclassified non-coding RNA (325 nucleotides) under Hevea brasiliensis (rubber tree). The record is from RNAcentral. Lineage: Eukaryota; Viridiplantae; Streptophyta; Magnoliopsida; Malpighiales; Euphorbiaceae.